Molecule: ribosomal RNA, 674 nt
Filed under: Cichlidogyrus casuarinus
Lineage: Eukaryota; Metazoa; Platyhelminthes; Monogenea; Dactylogyridea; Ancyrocephalidae
Description: eukaryotic LSU rRNA
Rfam family: Eukaryotic large subunit ribosomal RNA
Source: RNAcentral
AUUCUCCUAGUAACGGCGAGUGAACGGAGAUUAGCCCAUCACCGAAGCCUGCGUGUGUUUGCAUGCUAGGCAAUGUGGUGUUAAGGCGUGUACCUGGGAUCGUGUCCCUACCCGAAGUCUAAAUCCGAUUGUGGCUUUGGAUUCAUUCCAUAGCGGGUGAAAGUCCCGUGCGGGUAGGACUAUUGCAAAUCCACACGAUCCUUAGAUGUGCAUGCUAUCGAGUCGGAUUGCUUGAGAAUGCAGUCCAAAGUGGGUGGUAAACUCCAUCCAAGGCUAAAUACUGGCACGAGUCCGAUAGUAGACAAGUACCGUGAGGGAAAGUUGAAAAGUACUCUGAAGAGAGAGUAAAUAGUACGUGAAGCCGAUUGCAGGGAAGCUGGUGGAGUCAAGCUUCGUGCUUGAGGAAUUGAUGCUGGGAGCAGGUGUGUGAAUUGUAUGUGAGAGUGGACAACUUGGAAUAAGUUGGGCGUGUUCUGAAUGCGCUUCAAGUCAUUCCGGGUAGAGUGUUAUGAGCCAUUCUCGCUUUGCUACUCUCAGUGUUGUAUUCCUCGCUGCACAGGCCACAGUCAAUAGGUGCAUGCGGUAUGAAGGCCUAACUGUGCUUCGGCGGGUGCAAGCUCUCCGGGCGCAGGAUGGCAGGUGCUGUCCUCGGACCUCGUGUCUGUUGAUAGUUG